GUAGGUGGCAAGCGUUGUCCGGAAUUAUUGGGCGUAAAGCGCGCGCAGGCGGUUCUUUAAGUCUGAUGUGAAAGCCCACGGCUCAACCGUGGAGGGUCAUUGGAAACUGGAGAACUUGAGUACAGAAGAGGAAAGCGGAAUUCCUCGUGUAGCGGUGAAAUGCGUAGAGAUGUGGAGGAACACCAGUGGCGAAGGCGGCUUUCUGGUCUGUAACUGACGCUGAGGCGCGAAAGCGUGGGGAGCAAACAGGGAUUAGAUACCCUGGUAGUCCACGCCGUAAACGAUGAGUGCUAAGUGUUAGGGGGUUUCCGCCCCCUUAGUGCUGCAGCUAACGCAUUAAGCACUCCGCCUGGGGAGUACGGCCGCAAGGCUG
RNAcentral lists this ribosomal RNA (373 nucleotides) under uncultured organism. Its description in RNAcentral is "partial 16S ribosomal RNA". It matches the Rfam family "Bacterial small subunit ribosomal RNA", at positions 527 to 896 of the family's 1533-position model. The record is from RNAcentral.